RNAcentral lists this ribosomal RNA (750 nucleotides) under uncultured bacterium. Its description in RNAcentral is "bacterial SSU rRNA". It matches the Rfam family "Bacterial small subunit ribosomal RNA", at positions 46 to 807 of the family's 1533-position model. The record is from RNAcentral.
GCUUAACACAUGCAAGUCGAACGGAAAGGCCCUGCUUUUGUGGGGUGCUCGAGUGGCGAACGGGUGAGUAACACGUGAGUAACCUGCCCUUGACUUUGGGAUAACUUCAGGAAACUGGGGCUAAUACCGGAUAGGAGCUCCUGCUGCAUGGUGGGGGUUGGAAAGUUUCGGCGGUUGGGGAUGGACUCGCGGCUUAUCAGCUUGUUGGUGGGGUAGUGGCUUACCAAGGCUUUGACGGGUAGCCGGCCUGAGAGGGUGACCGGCCACAUUGGGACUGAGAUACGGCCCAGACUCCUACGGGAGGCAGCAGUGGGGAAUAUUGCACAAUGGGCGGAAGCCUGAUGCAGCAACGCCGCGUGCGGGAUGACGGCCUUCGGGUUGUAAACCGCUUUCGCCUGUGACGAAGCGUGAGUGACGGUAAUGGGUAAAGAAGCACCGGCUAACUACGUGCCAGCAGCCGCGGUGAUACGUAGGGUGCGAGCGUUGUCCGGAUUUAUUGGGCGUAAAGGGCUCGUAGGUGGUUGAUCGCGUCGGAAGUGUAAUCUUGGGGCUUAACCCUGAGCGUGCUUUCGAUACGGGUUGACUUGAGGAAGGUAGGGGAGAAUGGAAUUCCUGGUGGAGCGGUGGAAUGCGCAGAUAUCAGGAGGAACACCAGUGGCGAAGGCGGUUCUCUGGGCCUUUCCUGACGCUGAGGAGCGAAAGCGUGGGGAGCGAACAGGCUUAGAUACCCUGGUAGUCCACGCUGUAAAC